AAACUGAAGAGUUUGAUCAUGGCUCAGAUUGAACGCUGGCGGCAUGCCUAAUACAUGCAAGUCGAACGGUAACAGGCCCGCAAGGGCGCUGACGAGUGGCGGACGGGUGAGUAAUACAUAGGAAUUUGUCCAGUAGAUGGGGGAUAACUUAGGGAAACUUAAGCUAAUACCGCGUAAGCCCUACGGGGGAUAGUGGGGGACUUCUUCGGAAGCCUCACGAUAUUGGUUAAGCCUAUGUCAGAUUAGCUAGUUGGUAGGGUAAAGGCCUACCAAGGCAACGAUCUGUAGCUGGUCUGAGAGGACGAUCAGCCACACUGGGACUGAGACACGGCCCAGACUAGCAGUAGGGAAUAUUGGACAAUGGGCGAAAGCCUGAUCCAGCAAUGCCGCGUGUGUGAAGAAGGCCUGCGGGUUGUAAAGCACUUUCGGUGGGAAAGAAAAGCUCAAGGCUAAUACCCUUGAGUCUUGACGUUACCCAAAUAAGAAGCACCGGCUAACUCUGUGCCAGCAGCCGCGGUAAUACAGAGGGUGCGAGCGUUAAUCGGAAUUACUGGGCGUAAAGCGUGCGCAGGUGGUUAAAUCAGUUGGAUGUGAAAGCCCCGGGCUUAACUUGGGAAUGGCAUUCAAUACUAUUUGACUAGAGUAUGGUAGAGGGAAGUGGAAUUCCCGGUGUAGCGGUGAAAUGCGUAGAUAUCGGGAGGAACAUCAGUGGCGAAGGCGGCUUCCUGCUGGACCAAUACUGACACUCAGGCACGAAAGCGUGGGGAGCAAACAGGAUUAGAUACCCUGGUAGUCCACGCCCUAAACGAUGAGAACUAGAUGUUGGAGGAGUCAAUCCUUUAGUAUCGUAGCUAACGCGUUAAGUUCUCCGCCUGGGGAGUACGGCCGCAAGGCUCAAAUGAAUUGACGGGGGCCCGCACAAGCGGUGGAGCAUGUGGUUUAAUUCGAUGCAACGCGAAGAACCUUACCUGGCCUUGACAUCCUUGGAACCCUGUAGAGAUACGGGGGUGCCUUCGGGAACCAAGAGACAGGUGCUGCAUGGCUGUCGUCAGCUCGUGUCGUAAGUAACUUGCGACCUAUAGGAGUGAUCCUAUAGAAAAAUCUAGCUUAUAACGGUGGAACCCUAACAGAAUAACGCUGAGGGCAAUACCGUGGGAAGUUCAUUACAUAAUGUAUAUAACCCCGUAACGACUUCGAUAUUUUAUCGGGAUAACAAUUAUUGCCUUGAAUAGAGGUAAAUUUAGGAUUGUUAUAAUACGCUAGCUCUUACUUUAGUAAGAUGAAGAUAUAGUCUAAACCCUUAAGAAAUUUUGGGAGUUAUUUGGAGAUGUUGGGUUAAGUCCCGCAACGAGCGCAACCCUUGUCUUUAGUUGCCAGCACUUCGGGUGGGAACUCUAAAGAGACUGCCGGUGACAAACCGGAGGAAGGUGGGGACGACGUCAAGUCAUCAUGGCCCUUAUGGCCAGGGCUACACACGUGCUACAAUGGGUAGUACAGAGGGUCGCGAACCUGCGAAGGGGAGCUAAUCUCGUAAAACUACUCGUAGUCCGGAUUGGAGUCUGCAACUCGACUCCAUGAAGUCGGAAUCGCUAGUAAUCGCGGAUCAGCAUGUCGCGGUGAAUACGUUCCCG
Molecule: ribosomal RNA, 1631 nt
Filed under: Thiotrichaceae bacterium IS1
Lineage: Bacteria; Pseudomonadati; Pseudomonadota; Gammaproteobacteria; Thiotrichales; Thiotrichaceae
Description: bacterial SSU rRNA
Rfam family: Bacterial small subunit ribosomal RNA
Source: RNAcentral